AUGUACGACGCUCCGUCGGCGCAGGAGAUGUCCUACAUGGAUCACGUGCAGAGGCGCCAUGAGGAGAAGGGCUGCAUCUACGCAUGCGUGUUCAUGGCGCUUUGCUGCUUCUGCUGCUACGAGACCUGCGAGUGCUGCCUCGACUGCCUCUGCUGCUGCUGUAACUAA
RNAcentral lists this ribosomal RNA (168 nucleotides) under Triticum aestivum (bread wheat). Its description in RNAcentral is "partial small subunit ribosomal RNA". Lineage: Eukaryota; Viridiplantae; Streptophyta; Magnoliopsida; Poales; Poaceae. The record is from RNAcentral.